This is a long non-coding RNA of Cyprinus carpio (common carp), 387 nucleotides long. RefSeq lists it as uncharacterized. Lineage: Eukaryota; Metazoa; Chordata; Actinopteri; Cypriniformes; Cyprinidae. The transcript is spliced from 3 exons. The record is from RefSeq and is a predicted model, not a curated record.
AACCCAUAGUUCUAUGGCGGUGUUUUCUAUUGUGACUUGGCUCUUCGCCGACGCGGUAUGAUCUAAGUGAAGAUUUUCGCUUUUCGUAGUGGUUAUGUUACGUGAAGAUGAAAAUUCAGCACACAGUCUGUCAGCUGUAACCAAAGUGUACUAUACAUUAAGCCAUAAUCAGAGACAUGGAUGACAUCCAGGAGAGCUCAGAGCCCGGCAGUCCUCCGUACAGUCCCCGGAUGAAUAAUGCCUGUCUAUUAAAUGACAGUGACCUCCUGUUUGAAGAACGUGGACAUUCUCAUGAACUCGCCACUCUUGUUCCCGAGAACCCUAGCCUCCUGACUCACAGAAGAAAACGACAUUCACAAGAAAGAUGACGACAGGAAUGUGGGUAUG